GGAACGCUAGACUCAGCGUCUGGUGCUGGCCAUUCUUCCGCCUCUCCCCACUUCAGCCAUGUGAUGCUAAUGAUCCUCGUAAAAUAUAUCACGUAUUGCUUUGCUUAAUGAUCAUUACGGCGAUAUCGAGGAUGAUUAUGCAAUUCAAGACGUCUCGCUGCAGGGUACAUGCGUAUAACAUCGUUUUUAUUUUUACUUGUCAACGUUUACGAACAGCUGAUUGUUAUAGGAACGAACGUAUGGAAUGGGAAAUCGUAACCAUGGGAAACGAAUAGCAAAGGAUUCGGCCAAAACACCUGGACAUUUACAUCGCCUCGAGUCAAUUCAAAAUGGAAAAACACCAGACACAGAAAACAGCUUACGGAGAUUCCCGCAUCGCCUUGGGCAUUUUUGCAUGUAUUACAUACCUAUGUACAGAUUGAUCGAUCUUUCGAUGGAUAAGUUAAACGCCAGGUGUUAAACUCGAGUCCGCUAGACGGGAAAUUGCCAACUCAAGGACAAGGGCGUGAAAUGCAAGGGCGGCACAUUUAUAUGCGCAACUUGACUUGAACACGACAAAGCGGGAUAAAUCAUCAAAGCAAAGGAUGCAUUCACCGCUCUGCAUCCGAAGCAGAACCGUAGUCGCAUCAUUUGAAUUUCAAUGAUCAAUUAUUGCUAAAACGGUCGGAUGUGAUUGGCAAAAGGUGAAGAAGAAGAAACAUAUGGAUACCAAGUAAUAACCCUAUUUAUUUUUUAUUAUUACAGUUCACGAAAAUGGGUUUUUAUGAUCUGCAAUGCGGCAAUAUUUGAUAUCAGAGUUUGAAUUGAACUAUAUACCUGGACAAUAUGGUCUGGUAUGAUGAACCGAAACAAUUGUAAAAAGGUGUAAUACGCCGCAUUGGACAUCGCGCGUAACGGAGCCUGAUAUCAGAAUUUGAACUCGUAUUUUUGUUUAGUAAAAUCAAAAAUAUAUAUAUGUAUGUACAUGCAUACCUUUAAAUAUAUA
RNAcentral lists this long non-coding RNA (985 nucleotides) under Neodiprion lecontei (redheaded pine sawfly). RNAcentral's name for it is "uncharacterized LOC124294191, transcript variant X3". The record is from RNAcentral. Lineage: Eukaryota; Metazoa; Arthropoda; Insecta; Hymenoptera; Diprionidae.